RNAcentral lists this ribosomal RNA (489 nucleotides) under uncultured bacterium. Its description in RNAcentral is "partial 16S ribosomal RNA". It matches the Rfam family "Bacterial small subunit ribosomal RNA", at positions 30 to 507 of the family's 1533-position model. The record is from RNAcentral.
AUUGAACGCUGGCGGCAGGCCUAACACAUGCAAGUCGAACGGUAACAGGAAGAAGCUUGCUUCUUUGCUGACGAGUGGCGGACGGGUGAGUAAUGUCUGGGAAACUGCCUGAUGGAGGGGGAUAACUACUGGAAACGGUAGCUAAUACCGCAUAACGUCGCAAGACCAAAGAGGGGGACCUUCGGGCCUCUUGCCAUCGGAUGUGCCCAGAUGGGAUUAGCUAGUAGGUGGGGUAACGGCUCACCUAGGCGACGAUCCCUAGCUGGUCUGAGAGGAUGACCGGCACCACGGAACCUGGGACACGGUCCCAACCCCUACGGGAGGCAGCGGUGGGAAAUCUUGCACAAUGGGCGAAAGCCUAAUGCGGCCAUGCCGGGUGUAUGAGAAGGGCCUUCGGUUUGUAAAGUACUUUCAGCGGGGAGGAGGGAGUAAAGUUAAUACCUUUGCUCAUUGACGUUACCCGCAGAAGAAGCACCGGCUAACUCCGUG